This 148-nucleotide small RNA is filed under the name Helianthus annuus (common sunflower). RNAcentral's name for it is "Bacterial large subunit ribosomal RNA". It matches the Rfam family "Bacterial large subunit ribosomal RNA", at positions 2308 to 2453 of the family's 2925-position model. The record is from RNAcentral. Lineage: Eukaryota; Viridiplantae; Streptophyta; Magnoliopsida; Asterales; Asteraceae.
GUUCGAUUUCUUCCGGAAGCAGCCGGACGGAGAUUGGCCCUCGAGUGCAAAGGCAGAAGGGAGCUUGACUGCACGACCCACCCGUCGAGCUGGGACAAAAGUCGGCCUUUUGAUCUGACGGUGCCGAGUGGAAGGGCCGUCGCUCAAC